AGUGAACGCUGGCGGUAGGCCUAACACAUGCAAGUCGAACGGCAGCACAGGAGAGCCUGCUCUCUGGGUGGCGAGUGGCGGACGGGUGAGGAAUACAUCGGAAUCUACUUUUUCGUGGGGGAUAACGUAGGGAAACUUACGCUAAUACCGCAUACGACCUACGGGUGAAAGCAGGGGACCUUCGGGCCUUGCGCGAUUGAAUGAGCCGAUGUCGGAUUAGCUAGUUGGCGGGGUAAAGGCCCACCAAGGCGACGAUCCGUAGCUGGUCUGGGAGGAUGAUCAGCCACACUGGAACUGAGACACGGUCCAGACUCCUACGGGAGGCAGCAGUGGGGAAUAUUGGACAAUGGGCGCAAGCCUGAUCCAGCCAUACCGCGUGGGUGAAGAAGGCCUUCGGGUUGUAAAGCCCUUUUGUUGGGAAAGAAAUCCAGCUGGCUAAUACCCGGUUGGGAUGACGGUACCCAAAGAAUAAGCACCGGCUAACUUCGUGCCAGCCGCCGCGGUAA
This 506-nucleotide ribosomal RNA is filed under the name uncultured bacterium. RNAcentral's name for it is "partial 16S ribosomal RNA". It matches the Rfam family "Bacterial small subunit ribosomal RNA", at positions 29 to 523 of the family's 1533-position model. The record is from RNAcentral.